RNAcentral lists this ribosomal RNA (448 nucleotides) under Blastocystis sp. RNAcentral's name for it is "SSU rRNA". It matches the Rfam family "Eukaryotic small subunit ribosomal RNA", at positions 475 to 936 of the family's 1831-position model. Lineage: Eukaryota; Bigyra; Opalinata; Blastocystidae. The record is from RNAcentral.
AAAUCACAAUGCGGGACUAUCAGUCUUGCAAUUGGAUUGAGAACAAUGUACAACUCUUAUCGAUAAGCCAUUGGAGGGCAAGUCUGGUGCCAGCAGCCGCGGUAAUUCCAGCUCCAAUAGCGUAUAUUAACGUUGUUGCAGUUAAAAAGCUCGUAGUUGAAGUGUGGGUGAUCGCUGUUGUGAGACUUCGGUCUCUCGACAGUAAGUCACCCCCUUCCAGUAUCCAGUAGUGGGUAUUCAGUUACUUACUAUUGUGUGUUGGUCGUUUACUGUGAGAAAAUUAGAGUGUUCAAAGCAGGCGUUUGCUUGAAUAGAUUAGCAUGGAAUAAUAAUUGAAGGCUUUCGUGUUCGAUUUGAUUGGUUUGUUCAUGGAAGCAAGGUUAAAAGGAACAGUUGGGGGUAUUCAUAUUCACUAGUUAGAGGUGAAAUUCUCGGAUUUAUGGAAGAU